CCUACGGGUGACAGCAGUGAGGGAUAUUGGUCAAUGGAGGGAACUCUGAACCAGCCAUGCCGCGUGCGGGAAGACGGCUCUAUGAGUGGUAAACUGCUUUUGUAGAAGGGUAAACAUGAAUACGUGUAUUCAGCUAAGCGUCGUGUACGAAUGAGCAUCGGCUAACUACGUGCCAGAAGCCGCAGUAAUACGGAGGAUCCAAGCGAUAUAAGGAAUUACUGGGUGUUAAGGGUACGUAGGCGGAUUGAUAAGUUGAAUGUGAAAGGUCCGGGCUUAACCCGGGAACUGCCUCUAAUCCUGUUGAUCUUGAGAGUAGGUGCGGUAGGCGGAAUGUAUGGUGUAGCGGUGAAAUGCUUAGAGAUCAUACAGAACACCGAUUGCGAAGGCAGCUUACCAAUCUAUAUCUGACGUUGAGGCACGAAAGCGUGGGGAGCAAACAGGAUUAGAUACCCGUGUAGUC
Molecule: ribosomal RNA, 460 nt
Filed under: uncultured bacterium
Lineage: Bacteria
Description: partial 16S ribosomal RNA
Rfam family: Bacterial small subunit ribosomal RNA
Source: RNAcentral